CGAACGCUGGCGGCGUGCCUAACACAUGCAAGUCGAACGUGAACGGCUUCGGCCUAGUAAAGUGGCGUACGGGUGAGUAACGCGUAGGUAAUCUACCCCAGAGUCUGGAAUAACCGGCCGAAAGGCUGGCUAAUACUGGAUAGAGUCGACGGAAUCCGUAAUUGGGUUUUUCGGAAAGGAGCUCGCAAGAGCCCUGCUUUGGGAUGAGCCUGCGUCUCAUUAGCUAGUUGGUAAGGUAAUGGCUUACCAAGGCUUUGAUGGGUAGCUGGUCUGAGAGGAUGAUCAGCCACACUGGAACUGAAACACGGUCCAGACUCUACGGGAGCAGCAGUGGGAAUAUGGACAAUGGGCGCAAGCCUGAUCCA
Molecule: ribosomal RNA, 365 nt
Filed under: uncultured bacterium
Lineage: Bacteria
Description: bacterial SSU rRNA
Rfam family: Bacterial small subunit ribosomal RNA
Source: RNAcentral